Long non-coding RNA from Oreochromis niloticus (Nile tilapia), 514 nucleotides. RefSeq lists it as uncharacterized. The transcript is spliced from 2 exons. NCBI's taxonomy places the organism in Eukaryota, Metazoa, Chordata, Actinopteri, Cichliformes, Cichlidae. The record is from RefSeq and is a predicted model, not a curated record.
AAAAACUAAAUACAUUUUAAAAAACAAAACAAAAAACGGAUUUUAAAACAAGCUGAUAGUGAGGAACAUUUUUGAGACGUGAUUUCUGACGUCAUCAAUACGCUUUUAUUGUGAAGGAUUCUGCCUGAACCUGCUGCUGCUAGCGGAAGUGAAGCUUCUGCGAAGCACAACACAGCAUUAACUGAAAAGAGAGGCUAUGCACAACACACGAUUUGUAGCUGAUUAGGGAGGUCAGUGAUACCAUGUGGAAGUCACAUGAGCGACGAGGAUGAGGCAGAAACAACAAGGGGGCAGCUUGAGGAGUGAGCCGCUGCACAGUGACUGCAACAGGGAGGGUGUCUGCUGCUCGUAAAGGCCUUGCACAAGCAGCCCCCUGUGUCCCCUUAUCACUUAACAUUUACAAUGAACAGUACUACUCAGUCCCCUGCCACCAUAGAUGGGAAUGUGGCUGUCAGCUAUGUGCUGGUGCCAUUUCUCCUCAUUACCUUUGCUGGGAUAAUUGCAGCUGUGGUAA